Molecule: RNA transcript, 1818 nt
Organism: Odocoileus virginianus texanus
Lineage: Eukaryota; Metazoa; Chordata; Mammalia; Artiodactyla; Cervidae
Gene name: asialoglycoprotein receptor 2
Source: RefSeq, a predicted model, not a curated record
GGUAGAGAGGAUAGGCCAGGAGACCCCUUCUCUGUAAAGGACACAGACACAGCCCUGCCCUCUGCCCCCACCACAUAUUGACUGAGUUCCCAACUCAGUUUCCACUCUGUUUACUGUCCAAAGUCCCAGGUAGAUGCCAAGUUAGAAGCGCUUGGACGCUCAGACGCACGGUUUCAGGGCCCUCGCCUGAACUAGUGCUCACCCCUUCCCUCGUCUCCUCCAGCACCGCCUGGCCCCCAGUUCUCCUGGUUCAAGCCGUCCUGCGUCCUGGGGCCUGGGCGGCCCUCUAGACCUUGAACAGAUCCAACCCAAGCCAUCGCCUAGACCCACUCUGAGCCUACAUCCAUCAGCCUCCACCUCAAUUAGCAUCUUAGCAGGAGCAUCAGCCCCAACUCAGUCCCAGCCUUGAAGCAUCCCUGAGCCCAGUCGGGGUCUAUCCACACCCAAAACCCAGCAUGGCCAGGGACUUCCAGGACAUCCAGCAGCUGGACUCCGAGGAGAACGACCACCAGCUCGGCAGAGACGAGGGCCCAGGCACUCGUGGGUACAGCCCCAGGAGAGAAGGACCAUUCUGGAAAGGGAUGCUGCCCCCCCAGCCUCUUGCGCUGCAGCGUCUCUGCUCCAAGUUCCACCUCAGUCUGCUUGUCCUGGCCUUCAACGUCCUGCUGCUGGUGGCCAUCUGUGUGACAGGGUCCCAAAGGGCACAGCUGCAAGGGGAGCUGCAGACCCUACAGGAGACUUUCAGCAACUUCUCGUCGAGCACACUGAAGGACAUCCUGAACCUCAGCUCCCACGGAGGCUUCGCCAGUGACACGGUGAGAUUUCUGGAAGCCAAGCUGGUAAAACAGCAGCAAGACUUGAAAGCAGAUCAUGCCACUUUGCUGCUCCAUCUGAAGCACUUCCCCACGGAUCUGCGCACACUGACUUGUCAGAUGGCACACUUCCAGAGCAACGGCACAGAAUGCUGCCCAGUGAACUGGGUGGACCAUGACGGCAGCUGCUACUGGUUCUCUCGCUCGGGGAAGCCCUGGCUCGAGGCUGAGAAAUACUGCCAGCUGGAGAAUGCCCACCUGGUGGUCAUCAACUCCAGAGAGGAGCAGAAGUUCAUUGUACAACACACGAACCCCUUUAGAGCCUGGAUAGGUCUCACCGACAGCGAUGGCUUCUGGAAAUGGGUGGACGACACAGACUACAGGCACAGCUAUAAGAACUGGGCUGCCAGCCAGCCCGAUGACUGGCGGGGGCACGAGCUGGGGGGCAGCGAGGACUGUGCAGAGAUCCAACGGGAUGGGCGCUGGAAUGACGAUUUCUGCCAGCAAGUGAAACGCUGGGUGUGUGAGAUGAAGCAGAACGUCACUGUCUAGCCACCCACCUCCCCCAGCCUCCAGCAGACCUCUGACCCACAAACCUCCCUGCCUGGACAUUUUGAAGAAAGGAAGGAGAGGAGAGUCUUCCGAAGUAUGGGGAGAGCUUGAAGAGGGAUAGAAGCGGGUGGCUGAAGAAGCUCUGACCCUGAAGAUCCUGCCUUCUUCUGAAAUUCACUGUUUUAAAAACAACCAGACCAAAACAUACACAGCAAGAAGCAUGGCCUUGGCACCUGGGAAGGGAGUCUUAUGAUCAAAGGAGGAGCAGCACUGGCAUCCCAGGAAGAGGAGAAUUUCAUCUUUAUUUUUGACAUGGUCAGUGUGCUCUUCCCUUUAAAUAAUUAAAGUGGAUGCAUAAUGUGCAUUUGAUAGUUCACAAACACACUGUCAUAACUUGGCCAUAAAGUUCAAGUUAGCUCAUGAAAAAGCCAGAAUGACUUUCCCAUACCUCCAU